Molecule: ribosomal RNA, 206 nt
Filed under: uncultured bacterium
Lineage: Bacteria
Description: partial 16S ribosomal RNA
Rfam family: Bacterial small subunit ribosomal RNA
Source: RNAcentral
UACGUAGGCGGCUUGCCAAGUUGGGUGUGAAAGCCCGGGGCUCAACCCCGGAACUGCAUUCAAAACUGGUUGGCUAGAGAUCGGAAGAGGUAAGUGGAAUUCCCAGUGUAGAGGUGAAAUUCGUAGAUAUUGGGAAGAACACCGGUGGCGAAGGCGACUUACUGGUCCGAUACUGACGCUGAGGUACGAAAGCGUGGGAGCAAACA